GUUCGCUUUUCGCGGUGAAAAUCCAUAUAAAAAACUGAAAAAAUUGCCGAAAUGUUUUUUCAACUAUUGAAAAUUUAACAUUGAGCGACGCCCAAGGAAAGCACAAUAACAGUGGCUAUGAAACACACACAUCAUUGUAACUCAAUGUUAUUAGUUUUGGUGACCAUAAACAUAUGUUUAUACACACAUAUGUGAAGUAUGGACACACCAGGAAGUAGGAAGAUGUUAAAGUACAUAGAAUAUUAUAAAAAAAAGCAAUAAAAGAUGAUAAAAAUAGGUUUGGUAAAAUUUUAAUGUUUAGUAUUUUUACGGUGAUUGCGGACCACAACCACACACUCUUUAUCCAUAAUUUAUCCAACAAAUACAUAAUCAACAUUAAGUCGUAAUCGUCUUAUCAUCAACAGCAACUGCCAAAGCAUUUUAAUGGACAUUAUCAUCACAAUUCAUGAUACAGGUGGUGGCCGUAAGUGCUAUGCUCGUCUCCAUCCCCGUGCUAAUAACUGUCGCAAAAAGAAGUAUGGACACAACAAGUUGCGCCCUACGAAGAAGUUGAAGUACAUAUACUAUUA
This is a long non-coding RNA of Stomoxys calcitrans (stable fly), 569 nucleotides long. RefSeq lists it as uncharacterized. NCBI's taxonomy places the organism in Eukaryota, Metazoa, Arthropoda, Insecta, Diptera, Muscidae. The record is from RefSeq and is a predicted model, not a curated record. The transcript is spliced from 3 exons.